GUUGAACGCUGGCGGCAUGCCUAACACAUGCAAGUCGAACGGUAACAGGAGGAAGCUUUCUUCUUUGCUGACGAGUGGCGGACGGGUGAGGAGUGUCUGGGAAACUGCCUGAUGGAGGGGGAUAACUACUGGAAACGGUAGCUAAUACCUCAUAACGUCUCAUGACCAACGUGUGCGACCUUCGUGCCAUUUGCCAUCUGAUGUGUCCAGCUGGGUUGUGUUAGUUGGUUGGGAAAGGGCUCACCUAGCCGACGAUCACUAGCUGGUCGGAGAGGAUGACCAGCCACACUGGACCGGGGACCGGGCCAAGACUCCUACGGGAGGCACAGGAGGGGAACAUUGGACAAAGGGCGCAAGCCGGAUGCAGCAAGGCGGCGGGGAUGAAGAGGGCCUUCGGGUGGUAAAGUACUUUGUGAGGGGAGAAAGGGAGUAAGGUUAAAAACUUCACUCAGUGACGUUACCCGAAGAAGAAGCGACGGCUAACUCCGUG
RNAcentral lists this ribosomal RNA (490 nucleotides) under uncultured bacterium. RNAcentral describes it as "partial 16S ribosomal RNA". It matches the Rfam family "Bacterial small subunit ribosomal RNA", at positions 28 to 507 of the family's 1533-position model. The record is from RNAcentral.